AUCAAUUGUCGCGCGAUGAAUUGUGCGCGAGGAAUUGAAGCGGUACCAUUUUUUUAAUGAACUGGAAUUUACACAGCGAUUAUGUACAAAAUAAAUCUGACUGGAAGGGAUUUGAUAGACCUUACUUCUCCCAUUGUCUGGACAUAACUCUGCCUGCUCCCGACGGUGGUUUCCAUUUAAAGAGUCUUGCGAUCCUUCUCGAAACGCCUCGGUCACCGCUUCUAGACUUGUCUGGAGCACCCAUUGCGACUUACGCUUCCAGGCUCUUCUCCGGCCGCCGUCACCGACAAUGAGCCAUCAUCGCCUAUCAAGAGAACCACCUGGCACUCCUUCUGAAGUCCAUAUUUCGAUGUCAGAACCUACUGAAGGUGAUUGCUGUGUUCC
Molecule: long non-coding RNA, 384 nt
Organism: Zophobas morio
Lineage: Eukaryota; Metazoa; Arthropoda; Insecta; Coleoptera; Tenebrionidae
Exons: 3
Source: RefSeq, a predicted model, not a curated record